UUCAGCCGCAGGAGGCUUAGUGGCAUAGAUUGGAGAGUCUGUCGAAUUAGCGGACUCUACUGGCAGAGUUGAAAUCGGAAGUAGGGCAGGAACAAAUGGAGUGUUGGCUCUCGAUGGAGCAAACCCUUUCUUAAGUAUGCAUUGAGCCAGCUGUGGGCGAUCACUGUCUUCUGUAUAUUGGGUGCUUCCCUCCACAUUUGGCCUCUUUUGAUCUUUCUUACCAGUCGUUAUUCUUGGUGGGGAAACGAUAGCACCUUCAUUCCCGCGAACCUCGUCUAGUAAAGCUAAGACAUCCAUGUUGACUGCUAGAACGAGCAUAGAGGUAUAAGAACUAGACAUAGACCCUGCAACAUAAACAAGAGAAUUAACCUGAUUGGAAGGAGUGGAAGACGUACCAUGACAAAUAAUGUUCCACUAGAGUGAAUGCAGUCUACAAUAAUCAUAGAAAAAGAAGGGAGGCUCCCUCAUCCUCUCUAUUAGAAUUCGUGCCAAAUACUUAUUAGAGUUUUUGGGUUGGGCUACUUUAGUAGAAGGGACAUUCUGAGAAAUCGCCCAUAAUAGAAUUUUAUUAGCUUGGCCGCCAUUGGGACUUAGACUUUGUAGACAGUAUUGGAAGACAUGUUUGACAAUGACAAUUUCUC
This 641-nucleotide long non-coding RNA is filed under the name Gossypium barbadense (sea-island cotton). RNAcentral's name for it is "long non-coding RNA (GBAR_LNC019416)". The record is from RNAcentral. Lineage: Eukaryota; Viridiplantae; Streptophyta; Magnoliopsida; Malvales; Malvaceae.